This 497-nucleotide ribosomal RNA is filed under the name uncultured bacterium. RNAcentral describes it as "partial 16S ribosomal RNA". It matches the Rfam family "Bacterial small subunit ribosomal RNA", at positions 28 to 507 of the family's 1533-position model. The record is from RNAcentral.
GAUGAACGCUGGCGGCGUGCCUAAUACAUGCAAGUCGAGCGAACAGACGAGGAGCUUGCUCCUCUGAUGUUAGCGGCGGACGGGUGAGUAACACGUGGAUAACCUACCUAUAAGACUGGGAUAACUUCGGGAAACCGGAGCUAAUACCGGAUAAUAUAUUGAACCGCAUGGUUCAAUAGUGAAAGACGGUUUUGCUGCCACUUAUAGAUGGAUCCGCGCCGCAUUAGCUAGUUGGUAAGGUAACGGCUUACCAAGGCAACGAUGCGUAGCCGACCUGAGAGGGUGAUCGGCCACACUGGAACUGAGACACGGUCCAGACUCCUACGGGAGGCAGCAGUAGGGAAUCUUCCGCAAUGGGCGAAAGCCUGACGGAGCAACGCCGCGUGAGUGAUGAAGGUCUUCGGAUCGUAAAACUCUGUUAUUAGGGAAGAACAAAUGUGUAAGUAACUAUGCACGUCUUGACGGUACCUAAUCAGAAAGCCACGGCUAACUACGUG